This 119-nucleotide transfer RNA is filed under the name Gammaproteobacteria bacterium. RNAcentral's name for it is "tRNA-Ser". Lineage: Bacteria; Pseudomonadati; Pseudomonadota; Gammaproteobacteria. The record is from RNAcentral.
GUGGUUCAGUCGGCCAAGGAGAAAAUCCUUCCCGGCCUUCAACUUACUCGCGCCGAACGGUGCUCUCCGUCGUCUUGAAAAUCCGCGUGUCGAUGGUUCGAUUCCGUCCCUGGCCACCA